CAGCCGCCGCGGUAAUACCGGCGGCCCGAGUGGCGGUCACUAUUAUUGGGCUUAAAGCGUCCGUAGCCGGGUUGGGAAGUCCUCCGGGAAAUCUGGCCGCUUAACGGUCAGAAUGCCGGAGGAUACUCCCAGCCUAGGGAGCGGGAGAGGCCGAGGGUAUUCCCGGAGGAGGGGCGAAAUCCUAUAAUCCCGGGAGGACCACCUGUGGCGAAGGCGCUCGGCUGGAACGGGUCCGACGGUGAGGGACGAAGGCCAGGGGAGCAAACCGGAUUAGAUACCCGGGUAGUCCUGGCUGUAAACGAUGCGGACUUUGUGUCGGACAAGCUAUGAGCUUGUCCGGUGCCGGAGGGAAACCGUUAAGUCCGCCGCCUGGGGAGUACGGCCGCAAGGCUGAAACUUAAAGGAAUUGGCGGG
RNAcentral lists this ribosomal RNA (414 nucleotides) under uncultured microorganism. RNAcentral describes it as "bacterial SSU rRNA". It matches the Rfam family "Archaeal small subunit ribosomal RNA", at positions 459 to 872 of the family's 1478-position model. The record is from RNAcentral.